AGAGUUUGAUCCUGGCUCAGAACGAACGCUGGCGGCAGGCUUAACACAUGCAAGUCGAGCGCCUCGCAAGAGGAGCGGCAGACGGGUGAGUAACGCGUGGGAAUCUACCCAUCUCUACGGAACAACUCCGGGAAACUGGAGCUAAUACCGUAUACGUCCUUCGGGAGAAAGAUUUAUCGGAGAUGGAUGAGCCCGCGUUGGAUUAGCUAGUUGGUGGGGUAAUGGCCUACCAAGGCGACGAUCCAUAGCUGGUCUGAGAGGAUGAUCAGCCACAUUGGGACUGAGACACGGCCCAAACUCCUACGGGAGGCAGCAGUGGGGAAUAUUGGACAAUGGGCGAAAGCCUGAUCCAGCCAUGCCGCGUGAGUGAUGAAGGCCCUAGGGUUGUAAAGCUCUUUCAACGGUGAAGAUAAUGACGGUAACCGUAGAAGAAGCCCCGGCUAACUUCGUGCCAGCAGCCGCGGUAAUACGAAGGGGGCUAGCGUUGUUCGGAAUUACUGGGCGUAAAGCGCACGUAGGCGGAUAUUUAAGUCAGGGGUGAAAUCCCGGGGCUCAACCCCGGAACUGCCUUUGAUACUGGGUAUCUCGAGUCCGAGAGAGGUGAGUGGAAUUCCGAGUGUAGAGGUGAAAUUCGUAGAUAUUCGGAGGAACACCAGUGGCGAAGGCGGCUCACUGGCUCGGUACUGACGCUGAGGUGCG
This 699-nucleotide ribosomal RNA is filed under the name uncultured Alphaproteobacteria bacterium. RNAcentral's name for it is "bacterial SSU rRNA". It matches the Rfam family "Bacterial small subunit ribosomal RNA", at positions 8 to 755 of the family's 1533-position model. The record is from RNAcentral. Lineage: Bacteria; Pseudomonadati; Pseudomonadota; Alphaproteobacteria.